RNAcentral lists this transfer RNA (83 nucleotides) under Candidatus Thorarchaeota archaeon. Its description in RNAcentral is "tRNA-Lys". The record is from RNAcentral. Lineage: Archaea; Promethearchaeati; Candidatus Thorarchaeota.
GGGCCGGUGGUCUAGCCCGGUUAUGAUUGGGUCAGACUUCUUGCGGCGAAGGUUCCCCGGUUCAAAUCCGGGCCGGCCCACCA